AUGGCGUUUUUAAGAAUGGUCCUGAUAGAGAUUGGUUUUUGUUCCCAAAGUUUCACCCCAACUCCAAAUCGAGUUUUUCAUGAUUUUCAAGUUGGACUCCCACUGAUUAUUGAUAUCACUCAUAUUGGUACUGUGGCGGUCAGCUUUGUAGAGUUUUCUCAUUAUCUUCUUGUCCCAGUUCUCAUUAUUAGGGGUAAUUUUUCUUUUCCCCUUAUUGUUGUCAUCCUCUUUUUUUGUUCUUCCAAUUGUUGGAAUUGUUGUUUAUAUCAUUUCUUUAGCUAUCUUUAG
This is a non-coding RNA of Vicia faba (fava bean), 288 nucleotides long. The record is from the annotation of a GenBank genome assembly. Lineage: Eukaryota; Viridiplantae; Streptophyta; Magnoliopsida; Fabales; Fabaceae.